Long non-coding RNA from Gastrolobium bilobum, 227 nucleotides. RefSeq lists it as uncharacterized. NCBI's taxonomy places the organism in Eukaryota, Viridiplantae, Streptophyta, Magnoliopsida, Fabales, Fabaceae. The record is from RefSeq and is a predicted model, not a curated record. The transcript has 3 exons.
AAAAGCGACGGGAUGAUGCUUAUAAAGCUGCAAAAAAGAAAACUGGCAUAUAUGAUAAUAAGUUCAAUGAUGACCCCUCUAUGGAUAAGAAAAUACUUCCACAAUAUGAUGAUCCAGCUGCAGAAGAGGCACAAGACCUUGUUGAAAUGCUGGUAGAGCUGUGGGAUCUUAUAGAUACACCAAUUGAUAUGUAAAAGGCCUUUAAUCAUAUUACUAAAGUAAUGUCA